This 497-nucleotide ribosomal RNA is filed under the name uncultured bacterium. Its description in RNAcentral is "partial 16S ribosomal RNA". It matches the Rfam family "Bacterial small subunit ribosomal RNA", at positions 28 to 507 of the family's 1533-position model. The record is from RNAcentral.
GAUGAACGCUGGCGGCGUGCCUAAUACAUGCAAGUCGAGCGAACAGACCUGCAUCUUGCUCCUCAUACCUUAGCGUCGCACGGGUGACUAGCACGUGGCUAACCUACCUAUUAGACUCGGAUUACUUCUGUAACCCGGACCCAAUAUCUAAUUAUCUAUUGAACCGCAUGGUUCAAUAUUUAAAGACGGUCUUGCUUCCACUUAUCGAUUGAUCCGCGCCGCAUUAGCUAGUUGGUAAGGUACCGGCUUACCAAGGCAACGAUGCGUAGCCGACCUGCGAGGGUGAUCGGCCACACUGGCACUGAGACACGGUCCAGACUCAUACGGGAGGCAGCAGUAGGGAAUCUUACGCAAGGAGAGAAAGCCGGACGGAGAAACGCCGCGUGAGUGAUGAAGAUCAUCGGAUCGUAAAACUAUGUUAUUAGGGAAGAACAAAUGUGUAAGUAACUAUGCACGUCUUGACGGUACCUAAUCAGAAAGCUACGGCUAACUACGUG